RNAcentral lists this ribosomal RNA (443 nucleotides) under uncultured bacterium. RNAcentral describes it as "partial 16S ribosomal RNA". It matches the Rfam family "Bacterial small subunit ribosomal RNA", at positions 338 to 795 of the family's 1533-position model. The record is from RNAcentral.
CCUACGGGUGGCAGCAGUGGGGAAUAUUGGGCAAUGGGCGCAAGCCUGACCCAGCAACGCCGCGUGAAGGAAGAAGGCUCUUUGGUUGUAAACUUCUUUUCUCAGGGACGAAGCAAGUGACGGUACCUUAGGAAUAAGCCACGUCUAACUACGUGCCAGCAGCCGCGGUAAUACGGAGGUGGCAAGCGUUAUCCGGAUUUACUGGGUGUAAAGGGUGAGUAGGCGGGAAAGCAAGUCAGAUGUGAAAACCAUGGGCUCAACCUGUGGCCUGCCUUUAAUACUGUUUUUCUUGAGUUCUGGAGAGGCAGACGGAAUGCCUGGUGUAGCGGUGAAAUGCGUAGAUAUCAGGAGGAACACCAGUGGCGAAGGCAGUCUGCUGGACAGCAACUGACGCUGAGGCGCGAAAGCGUGGGGAGCAAACAGGAUUAGAUACCCCAGUAGUC